Symsagittifera roscoffensis is the source of this 299-nucleotide long non-coding RNA. RefSeq lists it as uncharacterized. NCBI's taxonomy places the organism in Eukaryota, Metazoa, Xenacoelomorpha, Acoela, Convolutidae. The record is from RefSeq and is a predicted model, not a curated record. The transcript has 4 exons.
UAGAAAUUGGAUGUCUCUUGUGGAUGUGCUAACCAGCUACUGUGAAGGAGUAAUUAUUGGCUGCUCAGAUGAAAUUGAGACCCUUUCUGUGUUUGAAUCAUUUCGACGCUUUUCACAGCGCUGGAUACCUGAUCCGCAUUGCUACCUGGGAAAUAAUGGUGUUAUUACAAACUUCGAAGAAGGUUUACAAUUCUUAGUUUCUGAAGUUCUGGCGUGGACUGAAACUGAGUUUUUCGAUACAAUCAAAAAAAUUCGCGAAGCAAGUGAUGAAACUGAUGUGCCUCAAAUUAAAUGCCUGG